This 279-nucleotide ribosomal RNA is filed under the name uncultured archaeon. Its description in RNAcentral is "partial 16S ribosomal RNA". It matches the Rfam family "Archaeal small subunit ribosomal RNA", at positions 347 to 628 of the family's 1478-position model. The record is from RNAcentral.
ACUUUACAAUGCUGGCAACAGCGAUAAGGGAACCUCGAGUGCCAGGUUACAAAUCUGGCUGUCGAGAUGCCUAAAAAGCAUUUCAUAGCAAGGGCCGGGCAAGACCGGUGCCAGCCGCCGCGGUAACACCGGCGGCUCGAGUGGUAACCGUUAUUAUUGGGUCUAAAGGGUCUGUAGCCGGCCGGAUAAGUCUCUUGAGAAAUCUGAUAGCUCAACUAUUAGGCUUUCGGGGAUACUGCCAGACUUGGAACCGGAGAGGUAAGAGGUACUACAGGGGUA